RNAcentral lists this ribosomal RNA (775 nucleotides) under Pseudonocardia cypriaca. RNAcentral's name for it is "bacterial SSU rRNA". It matches the Rfam family "Bacterial small subunit ribosomal RNA", at positions 62 to 850 of the family's 1533-position model. The record is from RNAcentral. Lineage: Bacteria; Bacillati; Actinomycetota; Actinomycetes; Pseudonocardiales; Pseudonocardiaceae.
UCGAGCGGUAAGGCCCUUUCGGGGGUACACGAGCGGCGAACGGGUGAGUAACACGUGGGUGACCUGCCCUCAGCUCUGGGAUAAGCCCGGGAAACUGGGUCUAAUACCGGAUAUGACCUGCUGUUGCAUGACAGCGGGUGGAAAGUUUUUCGGCUGAGGAUGGGCCCGCGGCCUAUCAGCUUGUUGGUGGGGUGAUGGCCUACCAAGGCGACGACGGGUAGCCGGCCUGAGAGGGCGACCGGCCACACUGGGACUGAGAUACGGCCCAGACUCCUACGGGAGGCAGCAGUGGGGAAUAUUGCGCAAUGGGCGAAAGCCUGACGCAGCGACGCCGCGUGGGGGAUGACGGCCUUCGGGUUGUAAACCUCUUUCGACCGGGACGAAGGGUGACUGACGGUACCGGUAGAAGAAGCACCGGCCAACUACGUGCCAGCAGCCGCGGUAAUACGUAGGGUGCGAGCGUUGUCCGGAAUUAUUGGGCGUAAAGAGCUCGUAGGCGGUGUGUCACGUCGGUCGUGAAAACUUGGGGCUUAACCCUGAGCGUGCGGUCGAUACGGGCAUCACUUGAGUUCGGCAGGGGAGACUGGAAUUCCUGGUGUAGCGGUGAAAUGCGCAGAUAUCAGGAGGAACACCGGUGGCGAAGGCGGGUCUCUGGGCCGACACUGACGCUGAGGAGCGAAAGCGUGGGGAGCGAACAGGAUUAGAUACCCUGGUAGUCCACGCCGUAAACGGUGGGCACUAGGUGUGGGGGCCAUUCCACGGUCUCUGUGCCGCA